Hydra vulgaris (swiftwater hydra) is the source of this 623-nucleotide long non-coding RNA. RefSeq lists it as uncharacterized. The record is from RefSeq and is a predicted model, not a curated record. NCBI's taxonomy places the organism in Eukaryota, Metazoa, Cnidaria, Hydrozoa, Anthoathecata, Hydridae.
UUUAUCUAUCUUAUACUGUUUUAUUUUUGCUUAUCAUUUCACAUUUUGUCUUAUUUUGAAUAUUAUGUUUUAUAUAAUUAUUAGUUAGUGUUUGUAAAACACUUACUAAUUUUGAUUGCUUUUAGAUUUUGGAUACUGCCUCUACCAUUAACAAAUUAAAAAUAAAAGAAGCACUUCAUAUUAAAUGGGAAAAUCCUAAAUAUAAAUUUAUCUAACUAACUUACUACAUUAUUAUUGUUAUUUUAAUAUUAGGAGCUCUAAAGACCCAAACCGAAAAGAAUGUCUAAAGUGGUUUUCAAAAAAUGAAUUGACGAAUUUCUUAAUUCUUUUUGAUUCGUUGUGAUAAUUUGUCUUAUGAGAACGCUAACGAGAAAAAACUUUUUAAAUAUAGAAACAUGCGUAAUAUAAAGUAAAGAUCAACAAUACGUUUACUUAUGCCUAUAAAAAAAUAUGUUUUACAUUAAUUAAUAAAUUAACUUUUUAGUUUCUUGUUAAAAAUUGUAUUCUGUAUUAAAGUUAAUUUCUGAGAAUUUGUAAUUAUACCUAAGAUAAUCUAAUCCUACAUUGUAUUUUAAUUUAUAAAACUCGAUAUUUUAAAAUAAAAAUAUUACUUUUUUAUCGCG